This 185-nucleotide ribosomal RNA is filed under the name uncultured bacterium. Its description in RNAcentral is "partial 16S ribosomal RNA". It matches the Rfam family "Bacterial small subunit ribosomal RNA", at positions 592 to 776 of the family's 1533-position model. The record is from RNAcentral.
AUGUGAAAGCCCCCGGCUCAACCGGGGAGGGGCAUUGGAAACUGGGAGACGUGAGUGCAGAAGAGGAGAGUGGAAUGCCAUGUGUAGCGGUGAAAUGCGUAGAUAUAUGGGGGAACACCAGUGGCGAAGGCGGCUCUCUGGUCUGUAACUGACGCUGAGGCUCGAAAGCGUGGGGAGCAAACAGG